AUAUAUAUAUAUAGAGGCAAAGAUAGAAACUGAAGAAAAACUUUAUUUAUGUUACUCUCCUUUGUGUUUAGUUGAUGUGUCAUUAGGCGUGUUCAUUCAUUACUAUUCUUGUAAGUUGGUGGAAAAUCAAAUUUCAAUGAGAACGAGUUAUUUGGAAUAAAAAGUUUGUUGGCACAAUAUGUGUUAUUUUAAUAGAUUAGGCAACUAUUUUGAGCAACCUUCCCUCGCUGAAUCCAAUAGUGGUCAAGUGAUUUUUCUCAUGUAUACAUAUAGUUACUUUGUUGAUCAUUUAAGAUUUUAUUUAUCUUUACACCUUUGCAGGAAUUUAAAAACCUUGUUUAUGGAAGAGAGCACAAUAGUUGAGAAAGAUGGGGAAUGGCUGCAUGAGCUUGCUCUGAACAAUAAGGUUCUUGAAAAUGUUAACUUCUACAUGACGGAUCUUACCAAAGUGCAAUCUGCAGAUCUUGAGCUAAUGGCCAGAAAUUGUCCCUCUUUGACCUCAAUGAAGAUCAGCGACUGUGAUAUAUCAGAUCUGAUUGGUUUCUUUAAAGCUGCUAAUGCACUGGAAGAGUUUGGUGGGGGGUUUUUCAGUGAGCCACCUAGACAGAUUGUCGAGGGUGUCUGUAAUGAGCAAUUAGGGAGGAAUUCUGCUGAAUCAUUUCCCCCAAGAUUAGGCUGCUUGGGUCUUACUUAUUUGGGGAAGGAAGAGAUGCCUUUUGUCUUUCCAAUUGCUGCCCGACUCAAAAAAUUGGAUCUCCUUUACGCACUGCUUGACACAGAAGGCCACUGUGUCCUACUGCAAAGAUGCCCCAACUUGGAAAUUCUUGAGGUAAAAUUUUAAAAUCUAUGUUUUAUAUUUUUCAAUAGUGAUUUGACAUCAUUUCAACCACAUUAUUCAAUAAAAUAAUAUUACACGUAAAUCUAAAAAAAUUUCUUAUUUUUUAGCCACACAUUUUUCAUUGAUUUGAUAUGAAUAAUGUAUUUUUCCUAGAAUGUGACUCAAACAAGGGUUUAGUUUUCCUUGAAAACCAAGAAAAUCAAUUCCAUGGAAAAAAUAUGCUAUCAAACAGCCAAAAGUGGAAAUUGGAAUUUAAAUUCCAUUUUCCAUGAAAAAUAAUGGCCAGUCAAACAUGACCUUAGAGAAUAUUGAUUAUGAAAUUGAGUCCCUAUUUGGCCUCCAUGUUUGAAAUGAAAAUGGGUGGAAAAUUAUUUUUUCCUGAAAAAUGAACGAUUGAAAAAGAAGAAAACAUUUUUUAUUUAUAUGUAAUAUUAUUUUAUAAAAGAUUGUGUAAUUAUAAAUAGAAUAGAAAAAGAUGUAAAAAAAAAUUAAUGGAGGUAAAACGGGACAAAAUGUCACUCAUGGACUCACCAAAAAGCAAAAAGAGGAAGAAGAUUGUAAGUCGUUUUCUUGUACGAAAACAGAGAAUAUGAAAUUUAUCUUAUUUUUGAAGGAAAAGAAAAAAACAAAACUAUUUUGUCCACUUGUACAGUUGUACUAAUGAAACCAAAGCAUAUUUCUUUAUUUUCAACGUGGAUCCCCCACUAUGACGUGCAAAAUUAAAUAGGAUAGGAAGUAGCUAAAUUUUCUUUCAUAAUUGUUGAGUUAGGAUUAGUGUGGUACUGCCCUUUAUGUAGUUGAAAAGCAAAGAAAUCGAUGAAGAACUUUUACUAAGUUUAUGUCAUAAAUUGGUUCAUUUUGUGAAUUUGUGAGUUUGAAUUUUUUAAUCAUAAGGGUCUCAUGCCAUCCUAAAAGGUUUAUCAAAUAGGAAAAUAUAAUAUUACUAAUCUAAAAUUUAGAUAAUUAUCUAUAUAUGUGGCAAAGGUCGUUAUCAUCAUUUACGGUCUAAGGCCCUAUUUGAUAACCUUCUUUUUCCAUGGAAAAUGAAAAGUAUUUUCCAUUUCCAUCCAAAAUUGUGUGUUUGAUGGCACCCAUACAUAAUUUUUUACAAGCAUAACAACAUUGAAUAUUUAAAUAAAUAGCAUACACAUAUUUAAAUGAAGAGUGCGUACAAGAGAAAUUAUGAAAAUAUUUUAAAUAUAAAAAUAAUUAGACUAAAUAGGUAUAAAAAAAAAAAUUGAGGCUCUAAGCCAUUGCCUUAAUUGCUUUGGCUCAGGGCCCGCUUUGAUUUCAUGCAUAUUUGCAAACGUUACUCGUAGUUAUAAAGUCUUCAAUUACAAAUUAAACGAAGGAAUAUUUGAAGAGGAAAAUCAAGAAAUUGAAGGGAGUCUAGAAAAACUAGUAGAACAAUAACCUGCAAUUGCCAUCGAUCAAUUUCCACUGCAUCACUCAAGGAAUUUUAAUUCCCUCUUAAAUUUAGAGGAGAUGCAACAAAAGUUAUUAGAGAAACAAGUUUCAACCGAAUAUAUUAAAGUCAGAUUGGGGAGACAUAGAUUUUGAAUCUAAUAAAAUACGAGUUGAGAUACCUAUAUUUACAUAGAUUUUUAGAAUUCAUUACAUUCAUGUUGAGGACCUCCGUAAAUAAAUUUGAUUUAUGUUUUCACCUAAUAAAAUAUGGAGUACAGAUGCCUUCAUGUACAGGAAAAAAGGUUUACUUUCAACAGAAUAGUACCUUUAAAAGUCAACUUUCCCGUUACGAAAAGGCGUAUGAUUCCCUUCUGGAGGUCAAUAAUUCCACUAUUUAAAAGAUCUCAAUCUUUUAUAUAUUCUUAUUUGAUGAAGGGAUAAAUUUGAUAUUGAAGAAUUUAUGGAAAAGAAUAGAAUUAUGGAGAUGCAAGAUGUUAUUUUGUUGGAAUUCACAUUCACCUAAUCAUGCCAAUAUUUUGAAAGAAAUCUAAUAUUUUGCAAUCACUUACAAGGAAAAAAAUACACAGGUUUCGUCUUUUUCAUUCGAGUUAUUCUCGGGUGACAACCCCCUAGACGUCCAAGGGUUGUCAAAGUGGUUUUUCCCUUUCCAUUCUCCAAUUUCAAUGUUCAUAAAGUCCAAAAUUAGAAAAUAUUGAAAAGGGAAACUGCAUUCAUGAAUCUCAUAACAAAAUUCAAAGAGUUAACAUGACUAUACCAAUUUCUAAAGUUGUAUUCACAUGAAUUUGUAUCUCAAUUGUUUGAAUUUUUGUUUCUAACUUUCCAUUGAAUCAGACUGAAUCUUAAUUAGCGAACAGUUUUAUCAAAUAAUGCGUCCAUUAAUAGAUAUUUUCAAACAAGAAAAUUUACAAAAUAUACGUUCUAUGUAUAUGGUGCAUUCACAUACCGAUCUUUCUAAAUUUAUAUUUAACACAAUGUCAAUUCCACCAUCAUGGCCCAUCAAGUGGGGGAUUGCAUUUCAUUCCAGCAGCAACAUUAUAUGGUUCAAACCGCCUUGUUUCAUCCAGCGCUCGCCACCAAAAAAAAAAAAAAAUCUAAUAAAAAGUUAUAAAUUUAUCGUUAUAAAUUGUUAAAUAUACUGAAGGAUACAUAGAAAAUAACAAAUCGCACAAUUUGUGUUAGCUUAUGUAGCACUUCACGUAUCAAAAUUAUAUAUUUUUAUUUUAUUACAUUUAUAUGAAUUAUUCUCUUAUAUUAAAUUUUCUAGAAGAAAAGAAAAACGUCGUUGCAAUAAAUGCUAAUAAAACUACGUAUGCAUCUAGGGAUGUAAACGAGUCGAGUCGAGUCGAGCAGGCUCGCGAGCCUAAAGUUUCGGCUUGGGCUCGGCCAAAAAAUAAAAAGGCUCGGCCCGAUACUUAAGUGACCGUUACUGAAAGUUUUAAACUUCAGUGAUCGUUUUGUAAUUUAUCUGUAAGUUCAGUGACCGUUUGUGAAAUUAACCCAUUUUUGUAAUCAUUAGAAAAUGUAGUAUGUAAAUUAUAAAUUUAUAAAAUACGUCAUGUAAAGUGUAAUUACACAUUAUCUACAUGUCAUAUUUUGUAAAUCUCCCUUUCAAAUAUUAGAUAUUUUAACCCUCAAAUUGCAAAAUAUUCUAGUUAAGUUUUACUCCUAUUGCAUCGAGACUAUGCUUCAAGUAAGUCAAAUUUACUUUUAUUUUUUAAUAUGAUUGAAUAUCUAUAAAGAGGAAGAAAUGUUUCUAUAUUUUGCAUAACAUUAUUAUAUUUUUUGUACAUUUACAAAAUAACAAUAUAGAGUUGUUCGUAAUCUCUAACCUAUAAAUGUAGCUAUUCCAAUUAUAAUUCCUCUAUGGGAAAGUUAUAUAAAUUUUCUUGUUUAUUAAAAGUGGUGUCUUCAACUUAAAUUUUAAUGAAUUUCAAAAAAUAUUUUAAAUUUAGGAGUUUCUAGUUGAGAUUUUAAUGAAAUUAGGUGUUCACAACUGAGAUUUUAAUAGAUUUCAAUGAAAAUAUUUAAAAUAUAGGUGUACUUAAUAACUCAUGCAUAUAUAAAGAAUUCAUUAAUAAAUAAUUUUUAAUACAUUUGGAUGGAUUUCAAACUUAAAAAUACACGUAACAAACUCUUUUAAAAUUUUACCAUUUUAUUGAGAUUUUAUGAAAAUCUAUUUAAAUUUAAGAAAUUCAUUAUAAAUUUAUAAAUAUUUUAAAACUUAUUAAAAUCUCAGUUAAGGACGUUUUGUCUCAACAAUAUUGAGCCCAUCGUUUCUAAAAAUUCAAAUUUCAUUUUUCUUACUAGUAAAUGGAACAAAGUCGCUUGUUUAUAUUUUUAGAUUAAUUUAUUUCCAUAUAAAUAAAUAUUUUACAAUUAGUUAAACUUGCAUUAAAUCAAGUAAUUAAUUCUCGAUUUCUCAAUUUAGAAUGAAGAAUAUUUGGUUAAACUUACCAUUAUAUCAGAAUGAAAACAAAAUAAUUGCAGUAUUUAUUUCAAACAUUUGUGUUAACAUAAAAUAAAUUGAACUAUAUAUCAUAGUGCAAUUAAACUAUAUUGAGACACACGGAAAUUAUAAUAAAGACAGUAAAAAUAUUUUCAUAUAAUUAAGUAUUCCAUUUGUAAUUCUUACAUAGAAAAGUUAUCUAAAUUUUCUUGUUCGUUAAAUAGAAUUAUCUCAAUAACACUGAAUACAUAGUUUCUAAAAAUUGUAUUACUUUUUUCUUACUUGUAAAUAAAAAGAAAGUCACACUUUAUAUUAAAGUAAAACUUGGUUCAAAAAUAAGAAAUUUAUUUUAAAUUUUGAUAGCUAAAAAGUUUAUUAUUAAAUUUUAUUUAUUUCAUUACAUCCUGUUUGGGAAUGAUUUUUUGGCCAAAAAAAUUGAUUUUUUAAUCAUUAUUUCACUAUUCCAGCAGUCAUAUUUGACUUCUUCUCUCACAAGUGGAUUCCACUUUUUUCCCUAACGAUCAAAAAAUCAAUUCUUAAAAUCACUCCCACACAGACUCUUAAUAAGUUCAUAUUUUACAUUUAUCUAGGGAUCGACAAAAGCAAAGGGUGAACCUCAUGGAGUGAUGUCCUUCUUUUAGAUAACGGAAGCAUUCCAUUACUACCAAUCCAAAGAAAUAUGACCUCUCUAAGAUAUACAUUAGCAGUAAAUCAAAUGAUUAAUGCCCAUUGCCUAGAAAUAACAAAAAGCAAAGGUAAAUAAUCAUUGAUGAAAUUUCAAUAGGAAUCAAUAAUACAAGAAUAAUUCCAUAGGUACAGAGAAUUAUUGAUAGAAAUGAUACAGAUGUUGCGUUAGCAAUACUUGUAUAGCCUAUUUUCUGUGUUUGUUGUGUUAAAAAUCAAUGAAAAACUGUCAAGUAUCUUUUUAUAAAAAUUCUGUUAAUUUUUUUUUUUUGGUAAUUGUAGUAAAAUUGAUAAUACAAAUAGGUUACUAAAUCAAGUGAUUAAUGCCCAUUGCGCAGAAAUAAUAAAAAGCAGAGGUUAAAUAAUCAUCGAUGGAAAUUCAAUAGAAAUCAGUAAUGCAAGAAUAAUUCCAUAGGCACAGAUAAUUAUCGAUAGAAAUGAUAUAGAUGUUGCGUUAGCAACACCUAUAUAGUGUAUUUUUCUGAGUUUGUUGUGUCAAAAGUCAAUAAAAAAUUGUCAAAUAUCUUUUGUAAGAAUUUUGUAAUUUUUAUUUUUAUUUUUAUUUAUUAUUAUUAUUAUUUUGUACAUAUAGCAAAACUGAUAAAUAUGUUACUAACAACGAUAUUGCCGAUUGUCUAAUUGGUGUUUACUCACAUUGACGUCAAUAUUGAUGUUGUCGACAAUCGUCCAUGUAAAGUUAUCAAUAUUAUCAACAAAAAUUAUCAAUUUUUAUAUUCCUUUUAUAAAUUACAAGCUAAUACAGUAAAAUAUCUUUUUAUUUUUCUUUAUAAUAUUAAUAAAGAUUAAAUUAUUUUAUUGUUCGUCCCUCUGUAUUUAAUUUUUAUAUUUUUGUUAAUUUAUUUAUUAGCAUUUUCUUUGUUGAUAAACUAAAUUUUUUGAACUAACUAUAAUUUUUUAACAUCAGUAAUUUUUUUGUGAAACUUUUUCAUAUUACAUAUUAGAGACCAAAAAAAUUUAUUAUGAUGAUUUUUUUUUUUCAAACACCUAAGUUAUAGUAAAAUUAAGUGAAAUAUAAUAAUUACAACAAAUACUUUUUCCGUCCCAUAGAGAUAUGGUUGAUAUUAUUUUUAUACAAAUUAAAUAAAAAUAUAUAAUUAAUAUAGUUUACUUUUAUUUUUCAAAUAUAUUUUUAUAUUACAUAAUUAUUUGAACUUCAUAUUUAUUGAUAAUAAUAUAUAUUAACUAUAGAUAUAUUAAAUUUUCAGAAAUUAAUUAUCUUCUUGACAAGAGAAAAACCUAUAAUUUAAAGCAAAUGAAAAAAUAAAAUAAAAUAAAAUCCUGCAAUAAGUACUGGGAAUUUCGACAAACGACACAUGUAGUGUAAUUAUUGGGAGAUGGAGUAGGGGGGGAAAAAAAUAUCAUGUACCGUCACCUCAGUUCGAUGAGUUCUGUCAAGAUUUCCCCUAGUCAUGGCUUUAUCUUCAAACAAAAAUGAGACAGAUGGAGUAAUUUCACAAGGGGAUAAAAAUAGUAACCUCUCGUCGUUUUCUGCGUUCCCUUUCAAUUUUAGAGCCCCUCACACACUCUCUCUUACGCCCGUCCCACUCUUUUUCAGGCCCAAUCCUCCUCUAUCCAUUCUUGACCUUCAGCUUCAUUAACCAACUUUUUGGUUCUCAUAUGUUGUCUAAAUUACUUGAUUUCUAGAACCCUUCCCCUAAAAGAGUAAAUAGAACAAGAUUUGGGAAUGGCAGAGCAAGAAUCGAUUAAGUUUGUUCGUUGUAGUAGCAUUAAUGGAAUUGGAAAUAGUGGAGCUGAAGACACCGUUUGGGAGCUCGUGAUCCCGUACGUGCAGGACCAUCGCGACCGAGACGCUGUAUCCCUUGUGUGCAAACGCUGGUACGAGAUCGAAGCCUCAAAUCGAAAGCAUGUGACAAUCGCGUUGUGUUACACGGCUACGCCGCAGCGGCUCUCUCGCCGGUUUACUUACCUUGAGUCGCUCAAGCUCAAGGGAAAGCCGCGAGCUGCUAUGUUCAACCUUAUCCCGGAAGACUGGGGUGGGUAUGUUGCUCCUUGGGUGGAAGAGGUCGGCAGGUCUUUUAGAAGAAUGAAGACGUUACACUUCCGUAGGAUGAUUGUGAAGGAUGCGGAUCUCGAGUUGCUUGCCAAAUCGCCGGCUGGGAAGCUUCUCGAAGUCUUGAAGCUCGAUAAGUGUUCAGGAUUUUCUACUGAUGGUCUCCUAAUUAUUGGCCGCUCGUGCAGGUAAAAAGGGGGGGACAAAAGGUGUAAGAACGAAUUUUGAUGCUUACUUUUUAAUUUUUUGAAAUUGAUAUUUGUUUGACUUCAUUAUUUGAGUUAUUUUUUUGGGUAUCUCUUGAUAAAUACAUAACUUUUCAAGAUUAUUUGUUGUGUGAUUUGUUUCUUGUUAAUUUAUUUGCUUCUAGAUUGUUGUUUGGUUGUUUAUUUAUUGAGUUAUUGCUGGGUUUGACAUUCAUGCUUAUGUGUACUUGCAUACUACUACUCUUUCUGGAAGUCCGUGUUUAAUUCUUCAACAGAGAGAUGAGAAAUUCAAGUGAUUAAUUAUUGUCUUUAGAUAACUUCCUAUUUUGUAUUUCUUGGAGGGGAUUGUUGUUUUAUAUGCAGAUAUGGUUACAUCAGGGAAUCUAACUUCAAAAAUUUUAUUUAUUUAUUUUUUUUUUUUUUGGGGGGGGGGGGGGGGAAGUUGCUUGAUUCCACUUGUCUAGUGUUAUUGAUUAUGGUUACAUACAUACGAGUUUUUUAAACUUAAUUCUUGAUAACUUUUUGGUUAAACGUAGCCUGGGGUGUGGUGGUCCUUGGAUAAAUGUUUGAUGGAUUAUUUUUGUUGCACGCAUGAACUAUAUUUUUUAUUUCUUUUAGAUUGAUUUAUCUGUUAUUUAUUUGAGAUUAUCUGGUAGAGGGUUAAAUCUGAUACAGGAAAAGGAAAUAUCGUUGGAAUCACAUUGGUGUUAGUGUUGGCUAUACUACGGCAUAAGUUUGAGAUCAUUGUUUAAACAGUAUUCAUUAUCAGCAUGCACAUUUUGGAAUGUGGUCUCAACGGAGUAACUUUGUUCUGCCUACUCCAAAAUUUGAGUUUUUGAUCUAUCCCUGUGAUUUUUAAAUGACAGGUUUUGAAGUCCGAGUCAUUUAGCAUUCAGUUCAGUUUACAAAUCUGCUCUCAUCUUGUCAUUGUUUUUGUUGUUAUAGAAUUUAGAUACUUUUUCCAAACAAUGCUAAUAUCAAGUGUUGCUCUGUUUCAAAUACCUGAAUUGUCUAUUGGUCGUCUUGCUUAAAAACCUUUGAAAUUUCUAUUUUGACAUUUUAUAUAUCAUUUCUUUUUGACCACUAGAAUUUCACAUAUGUUCUUAGAUAUUUCGUAGUAUCUUGAUUUUCUGUUUCUUGAGACCUAGAAGUUUGGUCCCUAUAUUACUUAUGCAUUAUGCAAAUUGAAUAAAAUGCAUUCGCCCAAAAUUCUAGGGAAGAGUAAUUACAAAAUACAAGGGUGAAGCACUAUUUUGUUCCUAUGUGAAACAUGGAGGACGAAUACUCUUUUGCUUUCCUUUUGUGUGUGUACUUAUCGAUGAAGAACAUAAUGGGGCUUUGGAAACUUUUUGGGUGUUCUCCAACCUGUUGAUUUUUCCAGUCUGCUCAUGUACAAAUAGUUUAAAUUUUGAUUCCCCUUGGUGAUAUAUUUUGGUUCUUAAUGAAAUAGAAAGUUUUUUGGUGAUCUAUGCAAGUCUUGAGAAGUUCUGGAUCAAUCUUCUCUUCUGUGAUGGGAAUGUUUUCUGACUGCUGAAACUUUUUCAGUGACUUGUCCCGGGAUUUUUGGAAAUGGUACAACGAUUCUGAAUAAGACAGUUCUUUCUCUCAUUUAUUCCUGCUUGAGGAUUAUGAUUUUUCGUUGCCUUCGGAAUUUUGCGCAGCAAUGUGUACAUUAUCCCAUUUUAUGUCAUAUCUUUCGCAACUCCAGAUGUAUAGGAUUUAUUAGGAAUGGUUACUUAGGGGCUGUUUGAGCCCCAUUAUUUGUAAAUUAUAAUGAGAUGAAUAGUAUUUUUUUGAAAAAUGAGUGGUUGAAAAGUUUUUGAUUUACGUGUAAUAUUAUUUUAUUGAAGAUUGUGUGGUUAAAAGUAGGAGACAGAAAAAUUUAAUUUAAUGUAAUGAGAAAUAAUGGAGCUCAAAUGGGGGCUUAAGUAAUACAUAAUUUACUGAUUGAAAAAAAAAAAUAGUAAUAAUAAUUAAAAAAAAAAAAAAAAAAUAUAUAUAUAUAUAUAUAUAUAGAGGCAAAGAUAGAAACUGAAGAAAAACUUUAUUUAUGUUACUCUCCUUUGUGUUUAGUUGAUGUGUCAUUAGGCGUGUUCAUUCAUUACUAUUCUUGUAAGUUGGUGGAAAAUCAAAUUUCAAUGAGAGCGAGUUAUUUGGAAUAAAAAGUUUGUUGGCACAAUAUGUGUUAUUUUAAUAGAUUGGGCAACUAUUUUGAGCAACCUUCCCUCGCUGAAUCCAAUAGCGGUCAAGUGAUUUUUCUUAUGUAUACAUAUAGUUACUUUGUUGAUCAUUUAAGAUUUUAUUUAUCUUUACACCUUUGCAGGA
This 9959-nucleotide long non-coding RNA is filed under the name Olea europaea (common olive). Its description in RNAcentral is "long non-coding RNA (OEUR_LNC004801)". The record is from RNAcentral. Lineage: Eukaryota; Viridiplantae; Streptophyta; Magnoliopsida; Lamiales; Oleaceae.